Molecule: ribosomal RNA, 497 nt
Filed under: uncultured bacterium
Lineage: Bacteria
Description: partial 16S ribosomal RNA
Rfam family: Bacterial small subunit ribosomal RNA
Source: RNAcentral
GAUGAACACUGGCGGCGUGCCUAAUACAUGCGAGUCGAGCGAACAGACGAGGAGCUUGCUCCUUCGACGUUAGCGGCGGACGGGUGAGUAACACGUAGGUAACCUACCUAUAAGACUGGGAUAACUUCGGGAAACCGGAGCUAAUACCGGAUAAUAUUUCGAACCGCAUGGUUCGAUAGUGAAAGAUGGCUUUGCUAUCACUUAUAGAUGGACCUGCGCCGUAUUAGCUAGUUGGUAAGGUAACGGCUUACCAAGGCAACGAUACGUAGCCGACCUGAGAGGGUGAUCGGCCACACUGGAACUGAGACACGGUCCAGACUCCUACGGGAGGCAGCAGUAGGGAAUCUUCCGCAAUGGGCGAAAGCCUGACGGAGCAACGCCGCGUGAGUGAUGAAGGUCUUCGGAUCGUAAAACUCUGUUAUUAGGGAAGAACAAACGUGUAAGUAACUGUGCACGUCUUGACGGUACCUAAUCAGAAAGCCACGGCUAACUACGUG